Molecule: ribosomal RNA, 301 nt
Filed under: uncultured bacterium
Lineage: Bacteria
Description: partial 16S ribosomal RNA
Rfam family: Bacterial small subunit ribosomal RNA
Source: RNAcentral
CAGUCGCCGCGGUAAUACGUAGGGUGCAAGCGUUAAUCGGAAUUACUGGGCGUAAAGCGUGCGCAGGCGGUUAUAUAAGACAGAUGUGAAAUCCCCGGGCUCAACCUGGGAACUGCAUUUGUGACUGUAUAGCUAGAGUACGGCAGAGGGGGAUGGAAUUCCGCGUGUAGCAGUGAAAUGCGUAGAUAUGCGGAGGAACACCGAUGGCGAAGGCAAUCCCCUGGGCCUGUACUGACGCUCAUGCACGAAAGCGUGGGGAGCAAACAGGAUUAGAUACCCGCGUAGUCCCUGUCUCUUAUAC